CCCUUAGAUGUCCGGGGCCGCACGCGCGCUACACUGAAGGAAUCAGCGUGGCUUUCUCCCUGACCCGAAAGGGUUGGGAAACCCGUUGAAUCUCCUUCGUGAUAGGGAUUGGGGCUUGAAAUUGUUCCCCAUGAACGAGGAAUUCCCAGUAAGCGCGAGUCAUAAGCUCGCGUUGAUUACGUCCCUGCCCUUUGUACACACCGCCCGUCGCUCCUACCGAUUGAAUGUUCCGGUGAGUUCUUCGGACUGCGCGGUCUGCAGUUUCUGCGUUCCGUGCGGAAAGUUGCGCAAACCUUAACAUUUAGAGGAAGGAGAAGUCGUAACA
RNAcentral lists this ribosomal RNA (325 nucleotides) under uncultured eukaryote. RNAcentral describes it as "partial 18S ribosomal RNA". It matches the Rfam family "Eukaryotic small subunit ribosomal RNA", at positions 1470 to 1796 of the family's 1831-position model. The record is from RNAcentral.